GUUUCCGCGGUGUAGUGGUUACCACAUCCGCCUUACACGCGGAAAGCCCUUGGUUCGAUCCCGGGCGGAAACA
RNAcentral lists this transfer RNA (73 nucleotides) under Pollicipes pollicipes. Its description in RNAcentral is "tRNA-Val". Lineage: Eukaryota; Metazoa; Arthropoda; Thecostraca; Pollicipedomorpha; Pollicipedidae. The record is from RNAcentral.